RNAcentral lists this ribosomal RNA (1361 nucleotides) under uncultured bacterium. Its description in RNAcentral is "bacterial SSU rRNA". It matches the Rfam family "Bacterial small subunit ribosomal RNA", at positions 28 to 1381 of the family's 1533-position model. The record is from RNAcentral.
AUUGAACGCUGGCGGCAGGCCUAACACAUGCAAGUCGAACGGUAGCACAGAGAGCUUGCUCUCGGGUGACGAGUGGCGGACGGGUGAGUAAUGUCUGGGAAACUGCCCGAUGGAGGGGGAUAACUACUGGAAACGGUAGCUAAUACCGCAUAAUGUCGCAAGACCAAAGAGGGGGACCUUCGGGCCUCUUGCCAUCGGAUGUGCCCAGAUGGGAUUAGCUUGUAGGUGAGGUAACGGCUCACCUAGGCGACGAUCCCUAGCUGGUCUGAGAGGAUGACCAGCCACACUGGAACUGAGACACGGUCCAGACUCCUACGGGAGGCAGCAGUGGGGAAUAUUGCGCAAUGGGCGCAAGCCUGAUGCAGCCAUGCCGCGUGUAUGAAGAAGGCCUUCGGGUUGUAAAGUACUUUCAGCGGGGAGGAAGGGAGUGAGGUUAAUAACCUUAUUCAUUGACGUUACCCGCAGAAGAAGCACCGGCUAACUCCGUGCCAGCAGCCGCGGUAAUACGGAGGGUGCAAGCGUUAAUCGGAAUUACUGGGCGUAAAGCGCACGCAGGCGGUCUGUCAAGUCGGAUGUGAAAUCCCCGGGCUCAACCUGGGAACUGCAUUCGAAACUGGCAGGCUGGAGUCUUGUAGAGGGGGGUAGAAUUCCAGGUGUAGCGGUGAAAUGCGUAGAGAUCUGGAGGAAUACCGGUGGCGAAGGCGGCCCCCUGGACAAAGACUGACGCUCAGGUGCGAAAGCGUGGGGGGCAAACAGGAUUAGAUACCCUGGUAGUCCACGCUGUAAACGAUGUCGACUUGGAGGUUGUUCCCUUGAGGAGUGGCUUCCGGAGCUAACGCGUUAAGUCGACCGCCUGGGGAGUACGGCCGCAAGGUUAAAACUCAAAUGAAUUGACGGGGGCCCGCACAAGCGGUGGAGCAUGUGGUUUAAUUCGAUGCAACGCGAAGAACCUCACCUACUCUUGACAUCCAGAGAACUUAGCAGAGAUGCUUUGGUGCCUUCGGGAACUCUGAGACAGGUGCUGCAUGGCUGUCGUCAGCUCGUGUUGUGAAAUGUUGGGUUAAGUCCCGCAACGAGCGCAACCCUUAUCCUUUGUUGCCAGCGGUCCGGCCGGGAACUCAAAGGAGACUGCCAGUGAUAAACUGGAGGAAGGUGGGGAUGACGUCAAGUCAUCAUGGCCCUUAUGAGUAGGGCUACACACGUGCUACAAUGGCAUAUACAAAGAGAAGCGACCUCGCGAGAGCAAGCGGACCUCAUAAAGUAUGUCGUAGUCCGGAUUGGAGUCUGCAACUCGACUCCAUGAAGUCGGAAUCGCUAGUAAUCGUGGAUCAGAAUGCCACGGUGAAUACGUUCCCGGGCCU